RNAcentral lists this ribosomal RNA (433 nucleotides) under uncultured bacterium. Its description in RNAcentral is "partial 16S ribosomal RNA". It matches the Rfam family "Bacterial small subunit ribosomal RNA", at positions 29 to 507 of the family's 1533-position model. The record is from RNAcentral.
AACGAACGCUGGCGGCAUGCCUAACACAUGCAAGUCGAACGAGACCUUCGGGUUUGGUGGCGCACGGGUGCGUAACGCGUGGGGAAACGCCCUUAGGUUCGGCAUAACUCCCCGAAAGGGGUGGUAAUACCGGAUAAUGUCUCCGGAACAAAGGUUUAACGCCAUUGGUUGGGCCCGCGUUGGAUUAGCUUGUUAGUAGGGUAAAAGCGUAUCAAGGCGACGAUCGAUAGAUGGUCAGUGAGGCUGGUCCGCCACUCUGGGACUGGGACACGGCCCAGACUCCUACGGGAGGCAGCAGUGGGGGAUACUGGAAAGUGGGCGGAAGCCUGAACCAGCAAGGCUGGGUGAGUGAUGAAGGCCGGAGGGUUGUAAAGCUCUUUUACCCGGGAUGAGAAUGACAGUACCGGGAGAAUAAGCUCCGGCUAACUCCGUG